GUGAAUCAAAUCCAACUCACCUUGCAUUGCAUGAUUUGAAAGUAAAGUGACAGAUGUUUACAAAUAUAAUGUAACGUAUUUACCUUCAAAUGUAAGCCAAACUUCGGAAUUCUUGAUCCGAAAAUGUCUCUCUUCCAUUGCUGAUAGGAACACCUCAAUAGAAGGAGCCAAGAAAUAGCACUUUUCCUUCUCCAAGCCCUUCCCUUCAACCUCUCCUCCUCUCUCCCAGUUCCUCAAAAAUCCAUCAUCUAUCUUUGCUUCUGACAAGAGGGAACAGCCAUGAACAUUAUUUGGGAGUUUGGCACUCAUUGCCAGAGUCAUCUAAAUAUUCACAUUGGAUUUCUUUCCACGAGGAUUAACUAAUGGUUGAGUAAAAUGAAGACUUAGAUAACCAGGCAUUUUGUGUGGCAUGUGGUCGAAUAUGCCCAUAUGCAGAAAAAGAAAGCUUCAAAAACAGCACGGAAAGUUUUGAUGACAUCUUUGAAAGAGAAUUUGUUAAUAUCCAAUCUUUGGGGUUGUGGAACUCGUCAUCCAAAAAACUCAGAAGCAAUGCUUCUAUCCAUCAGUUCUUUUUAUGUACUUCAGCAAUGUAACAAGAAGGAAAGGUACU
Non-coding RNA from Coffea arabica (coffee), 610 nucleotides. Lineage: Eukaryota; Viridiplantae; Streptophyta; Magnoliopsida; Gentianales; Rubiaceae. The record is from RefSeq and is a predicted model, not a curated record.